GAUGAACGCUGACAGAAUGCUUAACACAUGCAAGUCAACUUGAAUUUGGGUUUUUACCUUAGGUUUGGGUGGCGGACGGGUGAGUAACGCGUAAAGAACUUGCCUCACAGCUAGGGACAACAUUUGGAAACGAAUGCUAAUACCUAAUAUUAUGAUAAUAGGGCAUCCUAUAUUUAUGAAAGCUAUAAGCGCUGUGAGAGAGCUUUGCGUCCCAUUAGCUAGUUGGAGAGGUAACGGCUCACCAAGGCGAUGAUGGGUAGCCGGCCUGAGAGGGUGAUCGGCCACGAGGGGACUGAGACACGGCCCUUACACCUACGGGAGGCAGAAGUUGGGAAUAUUGGACAAUGGACCGAGAGUCUGAUACAGCAAUUCUGUGUGCACGAUGAAGUUUUUCGGAAUGUAAAGUGCUUUCAGUUGGGAAGAAACAAAUGACGGUACCAACAGAAGAAGUGACGGCUAAAUACGUG
RNAcentral lists this ribosomal RNA (467 nucleotides) under uncultured bacterium. Its description in RNAcentral is "partial 16S ribosomal RNA". It matches the Rfam family "Bacterial small subunit ribosomal RNA", at positions 28 to 507 of the family's 1533-position model. The record is from RNAcentral.